UACGGGGGGUGCGAGCGUUGUCCGGAAUCACUGGGCGUAAAGGGCGCGUAGGUGGUCUGAUAAGGGUGUGGUGAAAGCCCGGGGCUCAACCCCGGGUCGGCCGUGCCGACUGUUAGACUAGAGUACUGUAGGGGCAGGCGGAAUUCCGGGUGUAGCGGUGGAAUGCGUAGAGAUCCGGAGGAAGACCGGUGGCGAAGGCGGAUCUCUGGGCCUUACCUGACGCUCAGGUGCGAAAGCUAGGGGAGCGAACAGG
RNAcentral lists this ribosomal RNA (253 nucleotides) under uncultured bacterium. RNAcentral describes it as "partial 16S ribosomal RNA". It matches the Rfam family "Bacterial small subunit ribosomal RNA", at positions 524 to 776 of the family's 1533-position model. The record is from RNAcentral.